This is a long non-coding RNA of Mytilus trossulus (common blue mussel), 424 nucleotides long. RefSeq lists it as uncharacterized. The transcript has 2 exons. Lineage: Eukaryota; Metazoa; Mollusca; Bivalvia; Mytilida; Mytilidae. The record is from RefSeq and is a predicted model, not a curated record.
UCUAAAAAUGGAUCCCACCAGAACACAAAGACUAAGUCUAUGAGGAAAAUAAAGUUUUAGAUCAACGACUAAAAAUUGUCAUGAACAGAUAAAAUAUGAGAUAGAGAUAGAACUGGUAUGAAAGGUGACAGUAGAACAUUGAAAUAAUUUGAAAGAAACAAGUUGGCAAAGAUAUAUAUCACAUGCAUAGGAAGAGCAAUGGAAAAUAACAUUGAAGCAGAAUUAUGAAACAGUUAUUAAAAAAACCCAUUAAAUUGAGAGAGAGAAAAACGAGAUUUUUUUACUUUUUAAUGCUGUUCAUUCUUAAGAUUACUGUUUAUUGUAUUUCGAUGGAAGUUAUUGCAGUUGAUAAGAAGAUAGAACAAAAAUUUGAGUUCUUCAGCUUGUUUUAUUCAGUCAAUAAAAAUUAAUUUUGAAAAGCAAA